GGGCUUGCUUAGACAGCGCAUAUACUAAAAUUGGAACUACAGAAAAAUUAGCAUGGCCCCUGGACAUGCAAAUUCAUGAGGUGUUCCAUAUUUUU
RNAcentral lists this small nuclear RNA (95 nucleotides) under Mus spicilegus (steppe mouse). Lineage: Eukaryota; Metazoa; Chordata; Mammalia; Rodentia; Muridae. The record is from RNAcentral.